RNAcentral lists this small nucleolar RNA (94 nucleotides) under Sungouiella intermedia. Lineage: Eukaryota; Fungi; Ascomycota; Pichiomycetes; Serinales; Metschnikowiaceae. The record is from RNAcentral.
UACCGUGAUGACUCGCUGUCGCCCCAGACGGAGGAUCCUUUUCAGGACUAUGACCGAUUUCGACAAAUAGCCAAACACACUGAAAAUUCUGAAC